Molecule: transfer RNA, 84 nt
Filed under: Spirochaetales bacterium
Lineage: Bacteria; Pseudomonadati; Spirochaetota; Spirochaetia; Spirochaetales
Description: tRNA-Leu
Rfam family: tRNA
About the family: Transfer RNA (tRNA) molecules are approximately 80 nucleotides in length. Their secondary structure includes four short double-helical elements and three loops (D, anti-codon, and T loops). Further hydrogen bonds mediate the characteristic L-shaped molecular structure. tRNAs have two regions of fundamental functional importance: the anti-codon, which is responsible for specific mRNA codon recognition, and the 3' end, to which the tRNAs corresponding amino acid is attached (by aminoacyl-tRNA synthetases). tRNAs cope with the degeneracy of the genetic code in two manners: having more than one tRNA (with a specific anti-codon) for a particular amino acid; and 'wobble' base-pairing, i.e. permitting non-standard base-pairing at the 3rd anti-codon position.
Source: RNAcentral
GCCCAGGUGGUGAAAUUGGUAGACACGCUAGGUUCAGGGUCUAGUGUCCUUACGGAUGUGCUGGUUCGAGUCCAGUUCUGGGCA